UUCGCAAUGCCCGAAAGGGUGACGAAGCGACGCCGCGUGGGUGAGGAAGGCCCUCGGGUUGUAAAGCCCUGUCAGGAGUUAAGAAAUGUAAGUGCGCUAAUAUCGCAUUUAUUUGACGAAGGCUCCAAAGGAAGCCACGGCUAACUCUGUGCCAGCAGCCGCGGUAAUACAGAGGUGGCAAGCGUUGUUCGGAAUUAUUGGGCGUAAAGAGCACGUAGGUGGGUUUGUAAGUCAGAUGUGAAAGCCUUCUGUUCAACGGAAGAAUUGCAUCUGAAACUACAAGUCUUGAGUGUAGGAGGGGAGAAUGGAACUUCUGGUGGAGCGGUGAAAUGCGUAGAUAUCAGAAGGAACGCCGGCGGCGAAAGCGAUUCUCUGGCCUAUUACUGACACUCAGUGUGCGAAAGCUAGGGGAGCAAACGGGAUUAGAUACCCCGGUAGUCCUAGCUGUAAACGAUGGGCACUAAGUAGAGGGGUUUU
RNAcentral lists this ribosomal RNA (477 nucleotides) under Candidatus Scalindua brodae. Its description in RNAcentral is "bacterial SSU rRNA". It matches the Rfam family "Bacterial small subunit ribosomal RNA", at positions 365 to 832 of the family's 1533-position model. The record is from RNAcentral. Lineage: Bacteria; Pseudomonadati; Planctomycetota; Candidatus Brocadiia; Candidatus Brocadiales; Candidatus Scalinduaceae.